Molecule: long non-coding RNA, 2658 nt
Filed under: Oreochromis niloticus (Nile tilapia)
Lineage: Eukaryota; Metazoa; Chordata; Actinopteri; Cichliformes; Cichlidae
Description: lncRNA (ENSONIG00000031301.1)
Source: RNAcentral
AUGCUUCCCCCUACAGGACAGAGAGGAGGUCACACGGUCGAAGGAGGACAGAGAGGCAGUAGCUAUGUUGAAACAAAGACCAUCAGAGUCCCAGUAGAUGGUGUCGAGAGAUACGCCACUCCGCUGCUGAGAAGAAGGGACUUUCCACGGAUGUGUGUCUCUCCUGAAGCAGUAAAAGGCCUCCUCAGAUCUACCGAACGUAAGCUGGCCAAGAACCCUGAUCUGACCCUCACAUACAACCAGGAGAUCCACAGGUUAGUAGAUUCUGGUUAUGUUGUUAAGCUGAGCCCAGAUGAGACACAUAGCUCUUCUGAGUCAUGGUAUGUACCCCACCACAUGGUACAUCACAACAAUAAGGCUAGAGUGGUCUUCAACUGUUCGUUUGAGUUUCAGGGGACCGUCCUGAACCACUACCUCUUACCAGGACCUCCCUUGGGGCCCACUCUGCUGGGGGUAUUGCUCCGCUUCCGCCAACACCCUGUGGCCGUGAGUGGAGAUAUCAAAGCCAUGUUUCAUCAGAUUCGGCUGCUCCCAGAGGACUGUCCUCUGCUACGGUUUCUGUGGAGGGAUUGUGAAACUGACCGGCCCCCAGACGUAUAUGAGUGGAGAGUGUUGCCCUUCGGAACGACAUGUAGCCCCUGUUGUGCUAUUUUCGCCCUACAGAGACAUGCAAGGGAGCACAAAGACACCCACAGGGACAUCUGCGACUCUGUCCACACAGCCUUCUAUGUGGAUAACUGUUUACAGUCCCUGUCCAACCCAGAAGAGGCAAAGCAGCUCAUCGACCGGAUGAGAGAUUUACUUAUUCAAGGAGGAUUUGAGAUACGACAGUGGGCGAGCAACGUGCCCGAAGUAGUUGCUCACCUGCCCGCUUCAGCUAGAUCAGAGAGCUGCGAGCUUUGGCUGAACUUCAAAAGUCUCGACCCACAAGAGUCAACAUUAGGACUCAGCUGGCACUGCCCGACGGAUGUCCUGGGAUAUAAGCACCGCCCUAUAACCUACUCCACGGUCACGCUGCGCAAUGUGUACAAGGUACUAGCUACCCAGUAUGACCCCCUAGGUUACAUUUGUCCCUAUACUACAAGGGCCAAGCUGAUUGUACAGGCCCUGUGGAGCACCGAGAGAGGAUGGGAUGAGCCCAUCGAAGGGAAUCUACUUCAGUCCUGGCUUGAGUGGGAAGGUGAACUGUCACACCUCCAGCACGUCACCAUUCCCCGCUGCUACGCUCCUCCUCACAACUCCAGCAAUGCGACAUAUGAGGCUCACAUAUUCUGUGACGCAUCAGAAAAGGCUUAUGGGGCUGUGGCUUAUCUCCGAGUAAUCGAGCAACAAAUGCCCAUCGCCACAUCAUUCCUGUUGGCUCGUUCCAGAGUGGCCCCACGCAAACAGGUGUCAAUGCCCCGGUUGGAGCUUUGCGCAGCACUCACAGGAGCCCAAUUGGCCAAAGUACUCCAGACAGAGCUCACCAUCCUCCUGCAGUCGAUCUACCUGUGGACAGAUUCUACGACGGUGCUGCAGUGGAUCCAGUCUAGUUCCUGUCGCUAUAAGGUAUUUGUGGGGACUAGAAUCUGUGAAAUACAGGAGCUGACAUCACCUGAACAGUGGCGGUAUGUGACCUCUGACCUCAAUCCCGCUGAUGACAUCACCAGAGGGAAACAUCUCGCCGACCUAACAGUCCCCAAUCGUUGGUCACAUGGUCCACCCUUCCUGUCACAAACUGCUGACACUUGGCCUAAGUUGCCAACAGAGUUCCCGGCAUGCAGCGAGGCAGAGCUCAGGAAGACUGCAUUCUGUGGGCACGCUUCGGUAUCCCCGACCUUACCAGAUCCAACACAGUAUGCCACACUAGAUGAGCUGAUUGCUGCUACACACCGUACCCUACACGGGGCGGCCGACACUCCUAUUACAGCAGCGGAGCAACUAGAAACCAAGACCAUGCUGCUUCGCUCGGCUCAGACUGACAGCUUCCCAGAGGAGGCCAAAGCCCUCCAGAUCAGUCACCCAGUCCGCUCGGACAGCCGUCUUAGCGUGCUGUCCCCUGAAUAUGACAGUCUUACCGGUCUCAUCAGAGUCGGAGGCCGCCUCCGUCGAGCCGCCGACUUAGAUCCAGACAGUAUUCAUCCCAUUGUGUUAGCAGCUGAACAUCCCCUGACCAAGCUCAUCAUAAAAACUUAUGAUGACCAGCUCCUUCAUCCAGGUGCAGAGAGGCUGUUUGCGGAAAUACGGCGCACCUAUUGGAUUCUCAGAGGACGCCAAGCCAUUAAGAAACACCAGCACCAGUGUGUGGACUGUAGGAGAUGGCGCGCCUCACCUUCUACACCCAAAAUGGCUGACUUACCUUCAUCACGGCUGAGACUCUAUAAGCCCCCGUUCUGGUCAACGGGCGUAGACUGUUUUGGACCGUACACGAUAAAGAUAGGUCGUAGAAGAGAGAAACGCUGGGGAAUUAUCUACAAGUGUCUUACAACCAGAUGCGUGCACCUCGAUCUCCUCCCUAGUCUUGACACCGAUUCCUUCCUUAUGUCAUUACGCCGAUUUAUCGCACGCCGAGGAAAGCCAUACGAGAUGUGGUCGGAUCGAGGGACCAAUUUCAGAGGUGGUCACAGAGAACUCCAAACGGCGUUUGAAACAUGGAGCCUGACCUCAAGCAGCAGCUAG